RNAcentral lists this ribosomal RNA (515 nucleotides) under uncultured Chaetomidium. Its description in RNAcentral is "eukaryotic LSU rRNA". It matches the Rfam family "Eukaryotic large subunit ribosomal RNA", at positions 79 to 606 of the family's 3401-position model. The record is from RNAcentral. Lineage: Eukaryota; Fungi; Ascomycota; Sordariomycetes; Sordariales; Chaetomiaceae.
CCUAGUAACGGCGAGUGAAGCGGCAACAGCUCAAAUUUGAAAUCUGGCUUCGGCCCGAGUUGUAAUUUGUAGAGGAUGCUUUGGGCGCGGCUCCAACUGAGUUCCCUGGAACGGGACGCCACAGAGGGUGAGAGCCCCGUAUAGUUGGAUGCCUAGCCUGUGUAAAGCUCCUUCGACGAGUCGAGUAGUUUGGGAAUGCUGCUCUAAAUGGGAGGUAAAUUUCUUCUAAAGCUAAAUAUUGGCCAGAGACCGAUAGCGCACAAGUAGAGUGAUCGAAAGAUGAAAAGCACUUUGAAAAGAGGGUUAAAUAGCACGUGAAAUUGUUGAAAGGGAAGCGCUUGUGACCAGACUUGGGCCUGGCGGAUCAUCCGGUGUUCUCACCGGUGCACUCCGCCAGGCACAGGCCAGCAUCGGUUCUCGUGGGGGGAUAAAGGUCCCGGGAACGUAGCUCCUCCGGGAGUGUUAUAGCCCGGGGCGUAAUGCCCUCGCGGGGACCGAGGUUCGCGCAUCUGCAA